This 72-nucleotide transfer RNA is filed under the name Hypsibius dujardini. It matches the Rfam family "tRNA". From Rfam's summary of the family: Transfer RNA (tRNA) molecules are approximately 80 nucleotides in length. Their secondary structure includes four short double-helical elements and three loops (D, anti-codon, and T loops). Lineage: Eukaryota; Metazoa; Tardigrada; Eutardigrada; Parachela; Hypsibiidae. RNAcentral also lists the same sequence under 1 other name. The record is from Rfam by way of RNAcentral.
GUCCCAUUGGCCUAAUGGUAAGGCGUCGGCCUCCGAAGCCGGAGAUUGCGGGUUCAAAUCCCGUGUGGGACU